RNAcentral lists this small RNA (854 nucleotides) under Arabidopsis thaliana (thale cress). Its description in RNAcentral is "ATSL085800". The record is from RNAcentral. Lineage: Eukaryota; Viridiplantae; Streptophyta; Magnoliopsida; Brassicales; Brassicaceae.
UUAAUUUUAAUUUAUUUUAAAUAAAGUGUGACAUGACAUAUUGUUGUAUUUUAAUUGAUUAUUAAAGAUGGAGUGAAUGAAGUUGGUUCACCCCUAGAGGGUGAACCCAAGAAUUGUUCUAAAUUUUAUCAUGUCAUCUAACACUUCAAAUUUUUUUUUAAGAAAAUAGACAAAAAAAUAAAGUAAAUCCUCGACAAAAAUAAUAAUUAAUUAGUGGAGUCGAGUCGUUAAGAAAACAAAUUAAACGGAGUCGUCUCUUUUCUUUUUAGGUUUUUGAUUUUGUGGUCACUAUUACGUGAAUUGUUUUCAAUAACAAAAUAUUCAUGUAACUCUCUGAUUUAAGGAAUAUGGUGGUACAUACGGAGAAGGUUUAAAAAAAUUGAUUUGGCCACCGAUGUCACCAAAGUGCACUUAUCUUUUCGGUCACACGUCCUAAGAGAACUCCAUAUUACCUUCCGAGAAAUGAUUGUCGGAACCAUGCGAAUGAGGACAAAGCAUGGAGAAAGAUUAUGUGGUGAUUUGUAGGGAUAGUAACAAGUCUUUAAAGCCUCUCGUACGUGACGCAUCGACCGUCGGACAAGGUGGGCCCAUGGACCCGAGAGAGGAAGUGUGGCCCACUGGUAGGGGCGGUCGGGGCGUUACAGUAAACCAAUUUUAUCAAUUGUUUUGUUUUGCAAUUUUGCGAUUUUUAUAAUUUUACAGUAAACCAACUUUAUCACUUUCUAUAAUUAAAGAUCAUAGAGAAUAUUCGAUGGUUAAGCUGAUAUUUAGAACAUUCUUAUAUCUUAAGCGAUAUACUUUCCCUGAUUAAGGAAGAAGUUACCAUACACUUCAGAAUUGUAUUUGUUGAUAUU